GGACCGGAGUGGACGAACCUCUGGUGUUCCGGUUGUGUCGCCAGACGCAUUGCCGGGUAGCUACGUUCGGACGGGAUAACCGCUGAAAGCAUCUAAGCGGGAAGCCCCUCCCAAGACUAGUUCUCCCUUGCCCCUUGAGGGCACUAAAGAGCCGUCCAAGACUAGGACGUUGAUAGGCUGGGUGUGGAAGCGUUGUAAGGCGUUGAGCUAACCAGUACUAAUUGCUCGUGCGGCUUGACCGUAUAUCC
This 248-nucleotide ribosomal RNA is filed under the name Halieaceae bacterium MED-G27. RNAcentral's name for it is "partial 23S ribosomal RNA". It matches the Rfam family "Bacterial large subunit ribosomal RNA", at positions 2689 to 2925 of the family's 2925-position model. Lineage: Bacteria; Pseudomonadati; Pseudomonadota; Gammaproteobacteria; Cellvibrionales; Halieaceae. The record is from RNAcentral.